GCCCCUGUGGCGGAAUUGGUAGACGCGGUAGAUUCAAAAUCUGCUGUCCGUACGGGCGUGCUGGUUCGAGUCCGGCCAGGGGCACCA
Molecule: transfer RNA, 87 nt
Filed under: Alphaproteobacteria bacterium
Lineage: Bacteria; Pseudomonadati; Pseudomonadota; Alphaproteobacteria
Also listed under: 4 other names
Description: tRNA-Leu
Rfam family: tRNA
About the family: Transfer RNA (tRNA) molecules are approximately 80 nucleotides in length. Their secondary structure includes four short double-helical elements and three loops (D, anti-codon, and T loops). Further hydrogen bonds mediate the characteristic L-shaped molecular structure. tRNAs have two regions of fundamental functional importance: the anti-codon, which is responsible for specific mRNA codon recognition, and the 3' end, to which the tRNAs corresponding amino acid is attached (by aminoacyl-tRNA synthetases). tRNAs cope with the degeneracy of the genetic code in two manners: having more than one tRNA (with a specific anti-codon) for a particular amino acid; and 'wobble' base-pairing, i.e. permitting non-standard base-pairing at the 3rd anti-codon position.
Source: RNAcentral